GCCAGGUAGGAUAUUUAGAAGAAAGGUUCAUUUAUUUAGAUCACUAUUCACUUCUACUGUCCAGAUUCCUAGUUAUGAAUUAUGCAUAAUCAAGAACAUAAUGAAAAGCUUAAGGUGAAGAGGACAGAAAAUAAUUAGUAUGUUCUAGAUUUUGAUUUCAAUUCUCAUAUGUGUUAAUUAUGAUUUAUGAAUAUUGAAUGUUGAACAUGAUAUCAAUGGUUGUUUCUGUCAUCU
This 234-nucleotide unclassified non-coding RNA is filed under the name Hevea brasiliensis (rubber tree). Lineage: Eukaryota; Viridiplantae; Streptophyta; Magnoliopsida; Malpighiales; Euphorbiaceae. The record is from RNAcentral.